CCGAAUUCGUCGACAACAGAGUUUGAUCCUGGCUCAGGAUGAACGCUGGCGGCGUGCCUAAUACAUGCAAGUUGAGCGAAUGGAUUAAGAGCUUGCUCUUAUGAAGUUAGCGGCGGACGGGUGAGUAACACGUGGGUAACCUGCCCAUAAGACUGGGAUAACUCCGGGAAACCGGGGCUAAUACCGGAUAACAUUUUGAACUGCAUGGUUCGAAAUUGAAAGGUGGCUUCGGCUGUCACUUAUGGAUGGACCCGCGUCGCAUUAGCUAGUUGGUGAGGUAACGGCUCACCAAGGCAACGAUGCGUAGCCGACCUGAGAGGGUGAUCGGCCACACUGGGACUGAGACACGGCCCAGACUCCUACGGGAGGCAGCAGUAGGGAAUCUUCCGCAAUGGACGAAAGUCUGACGGAGCAACGCCGCGUGAGUGAUGAAGGCUUUCGGGUCGUAAAACUCUGUUGUUAGGGAAGAACAAGUGCUAGUUGAAUAAGCUGGCACCUUGACGGUACCUAACCAGAAAGCCACGGCUAACUACGUGCCAGCAGCCGCGGUAAUACGUAGGUGGCAAGCGUUAUCCGGAAUUAUUGGGCGUAAAGCGCGCGCAGGUGGUUUCUUAAGUCUGAUGUGAAAGCCCACGGUCAACCGUGGAGGGUCAUUGGAAACUGGGAGACUUGA
This 673-nucleotide ribosomal RNA is filed under the name Bacillus sp. 'Mali 223'. RNAcentral describes it as "partial 16S ribosomal RNA". It matches the Rfam family "Bacterial small subunit ribosomal RNA", at positions 1 to 645 of the family's 1533-position model. Lineage: Bacteria; Bacillati; Bacillota; Bacilli; Caryophanales; Bacillaceae. The record is from RNAcentral.